Molecule: ribosomal RNA, 389 nt
Filed under: uncultured bacterium
Lineage: Bacteria
Description: bacterial SSU rRNA
Rfam family: Bacterial small subunit ribosomal RNA
Source: RNAcentral
AUUGAACGCUGGCGGCAUGCCUUACACAUGCAAGUCGAACGGCAGCACGGGAGCAAUCCUGGUGGCGAGUGGCGAACGGGUGAGUAAUAUAUCGGAACGUGCCCGGUCGUGGGGAUAACGUAGCGAAAGCUACGCUAAUACCGCAUACGAUCUACGGAUGAAAGCGGGGGAUCGCAAGACCUCGCGCGAUUGGAGCGGCCGAUAUCAGAUUAGGUAGUUGGUGAGGUAAAGGGCUCACCAAGCCGACGAUCUGUAGCUGGUCUGAGAGGACGACCAGCCACACUGGGACUGAGACACGGCCCAGACUCCUACGGGAGGCAGCAGUGGGGAAUUUUGGACAAUGGGCGCAAGCCUGAUCCAGCAAUGCCGCGUGCAGGAUGAAGGCCUUC